AUGAAAGGUUCAAUGAGCAAUUCGGCAAGCAGGGUUGAUCAUGAAGAGAGAGAGAGAGAGAGUACUCCACUUGUACUGAAGAAAUACUGCACGAAUAUGGUUGGUUGUGCCUUGGAAGAAGUUGGAUUCGCCGCGUCCCAAGUCGAGAGGUACCCAUUGCGGAUAAUACUCGUAAACAAACAAAUCCACCGGCGAGAAAUGCUUCAUAUGCUUCUUUUUUUGUUCGGUCGAUUCAGCUUCCUGAAUCUUGAGUGGUUUUCACCAUUGGGAAAUUCAAGCGACGGAAGGGGUAUCUGUGCUUUUGCACAAAGGUAUAACCAUAUAAGUGCAAUAUAA
This 336-nucleotide ribosomal RNA is filed under the name Triticum aestivum (bread wheat). RNAcentral's name for it is "partial small subunit ribosomal RNA". The record is from RNAcentral. Lineage: Eukaryota; Viridiplantae; Streptophyta; Magnoliopsida; Poales; Poaceae.